Molecule: ribosomal RNA, 468 nt
Filed under: uncultured bacterium
Lineage: Bacteria
Description: partial 16S ribosomal RNA
Rfam family: Bacterial small subunit ribosomal RNA
Source: RNAcentral
GACGAACGCUGGCGGCGUGCUUAACACAUGCAAGUCGAACGGAAAGGCCCUGCUUUUGUGGGGUGCUCGAGUGGCGAACGGGUGAGUAACACGUGAGUAACCUGCCCUUGACUUUGGGAUAACUUCAUGAAACUGGGGCUAAUACCGGAUAGGAGCUCCUGCUGCAUGGUGGGGGUUGGAAGGUUUCGGCGGUUGGUGAUGGACUCGCGGCUUAUCAGCUUGUUGGUGGGGUAGUGGCUUACCAAGGCUUUGACGGGUAGCCGGCCUGAGAGGGUGACAGGCCACACUGGGCCUGAGAUACGGCCCAGCCUCCUACGGGAGGCAGCAGUGGGGAAGAUUGCACAAUGCGCGGAAGCCUGAUGCAGUCACGCCGCGUGCGGGAUGACGGCAUUCGGGUUGUAAACUGAUUUCGCCUGUGACGAAGCGUGAGUGACGGUACUGGGUAAAGAAGCACCGGCUAACUCCGUG